UCUGGUGAGUUUUAGCGAAGUGGUCACACCUGUUCCCAUCUCGAACACAGAAGUUAAGCACUUUAGCGGCGACAAUAUCUAGCCACGCGCUAGUGAAGAUAGUUCAUCGCCAGGU
This 115-nucleotide ribosomal RNA is filed under the name Erysipelothrix rhusiopathiae SY1027. The record is from RNAcentral. Lineage: Bacteria; Bacillati; Bacillota; Erysipelotrichia; Erysipelotrichales; Erysipelotrichaceae.